This is a non-coding RNA of Paramuricea clavata, 6389 nucleotides long. NCBI's taxonomy places the organism in Eukaryota, Metazoa, Cnidaria, Anthozoa, Malacalcyonacea, Plexauridae. The record is from the annotation of a GenBank genome assembly.
UUCAGACGUAAUGCGCGAAUCAAAUCGAAACCUUGACAUCCCCCCCCGGGCAUACCCCCGGGAAUUUGGAUUUUGACGUUUUGGUCAGGUCAAAUUCCCUACAUAUAUUUGUAAUUCCCGUUCAAAUACACCACGUAUUGGGAAAAAUUGGAGUUCAAAUGCCCCACCCCAUGUACGAAUUGGAAGCUACAGCAUUUCGCAAUUUUGGAAUUUCAAAGUUUUUCUUUCCUUCAAAAACUCUCUUCAAUCGUUCAAAGCCGUUUUCUUGUAGCCAACCAAGGACAGAGUUAAUUCCUUUGCACUUGAAGACCUUGAACUCAUCCAUUAAUUAUUGACGCCAUUUUGGAUUCUGCACACGUGUUUAAAAGAAAAAUUCAAAUUCCCGACCCCCUUCAAAUUCCCCACCUUCCACUAGAAAAAAAGUCAAAUUCCCGCCUUCUUAAAAUACUAAACAAGCAAAUUCCCCAGGUAUGCCCGGGGGGGGGGAUGUCAAGGUUUCGAUUUGAUUCGCGCAUUACAAAUAUGGCGUAAAAAUUCUGCAAGUUUAUAUUGAUCAAUCAUACCUUUAUUUGAAGGUAAUAUGCUUUAUUUAAUAUCAGUAUUUGUAGUAGAAUACUUAGAUGGCUAAUGUAGAUGGAAUUUUUAGGAAAUCGGGGUCGAAUUAAGUGCGAAAUUUCGGCACAAAGUUUGUAGUUUGCACGUGCAGUCGUGCAUCGGUUUGGUGGAUUGUCGAAAUAAAAACCGUGAUCCGAUUUUGUUAGCACUGACCAAUUCAAUAAAAAGACUAAGUAAGGUAUAAAAUUGUUGAAACCAUCGAGGAGAAAGAUCUUGAGGAGGCAAUAUAUUUUACAUCAUUAAAUUGUUUUAAUAGACCAUAUUUGUCAUUGAGCACUCUUCCCUUCACAAGUAAAACCCAGUCCUCAAAAUUAUGCACAUGUCAUCGGCCAUCCCCGGAGGGGGGACCCCGGGCUAAGGCGGGACUUUGAAUUCACAGUCAUAAAACUGUGCAAAUUUCCCCACCCUGUGGGGCAAGAAUACUUGUCAAUCUCCCACUUUUCCCCCGCCCUCAGGGGCUUGUAAAGAUGAGUACUUAUUUAUGAUUUAUUAGUUGUGAGCAAUUUCUAGACAUAAACUGUGAAGUCAUGUCAAAAUGUUGCAUCUUUUUCAAUGGAAACUACUUUUCUCCUCUCACCAUGCUGAACAAGGACCUUGAGAUAUUAAGAACAGUAUAUAAAUAUAUUAAAACUACAUUAAAUAAAUAUCAGCACAAACUAUGAAAUUUUGUUUAAAAAAAUAUUGUAUUCUCGAACAUGUUCAAUUCAAAUAACUCGAAGAGUACACAAAACAAGUCAUAAAUAACAUUGGAUUACAAAAAUGGUGACCUGAUGGCCAUUUUGAAAUGUAUAAUUCAUUAGAUUGAGUCUGAUUGACAUACUUUAUAAAUUCCUUUUCUGUGAUGCCCUCCAUGUUUAUAAAAGCGAUCGGUCCCAGUCUUUUUAUCUUUUUUAUACGUUUCCAAGAUGGCGUCAUGAAGGUCAAUUCCCCUGCCUCAGAAUUAGGUUUUGAGACAAACUAAUGAAUUUUCCCCGCUCCCUAGGGUAUAAAAGCAGUGCAAUCUCCGUGUAUUCCUUUCAUAUUUCCCCGCCCUAGCCCGGGGUCCCCCCUCCGGGGAUGGCCGAUGACAUGUGCAUUAGUGACGGCAAUUACCGCCGAUAUGCCGCUGAAAAGGAAAUUAUCAAUGGCUGAUUGCCGUCGAAGAAUUUUGCCAUUUAAUGGUAAUACCUUCAUGGUUCCAUUAUUCGAUUGGAAGGUAUAAAUACCUUCAUGGCUUCAUUAUUCGAUUGAUUCUUCUUAGCUUUGCUGCUAUCCAACAAAUAACAUCGUAUCAAUGUUAAUUCUUCACCCACCCAACUACUCCAGAUAAUGUCGAUCAAUAUUCAGCCGUAUUUUGACUUUCGUAUUUAUGAUACAAAAUCUGUACCGUGAUACUUUAUACUUUGGACAUUAAUUGUCAAAUUUCUACGAGAUAACGUUGAUAAGUUCACAUAAAAACCCACCCACUCAUAAUGUCGUUCAACGUUAUUAGUGGCAACAUGAAUAUGGACGUGCGAACAUUUAAUUUAAACCUUUGUCUUUUUUAUUUUCUUGCUUUUGAAGAGUCUGCAAAUAAUUUUUCAUUACAGUAUAUAACGUGAGGAGUUUCUUCCAUGUCCGUCGAUGAACAAGUGUAUACUAUAUAUCUUCUAUUUUUUAAGGACUUUUUAAAGAAAAAAAAUUGCUGCCGAACUCAAAGAUAUCUAUGGCAAUUUUUUGCCGAUGAGGAUUUAUGCUAAUUUCGAGGACUGAAAAUUGUCUGGUGUUUAUAAACUAAAAUAAUAAAAUAGGGUACAUCAGGGCACAAUGCAGCUUUAUGGCCAGGCGGGUGUAAUUUGCAGAAUGCAGAACGCAACUUCUGUACUUUCGCUCAGAGGUGAUAUGUAAAAGCUGUCCAAAAGUGUUGGGGGGUUAGAGUUACGUUCCUAACCUUGUAAAAGCUGAGCGAAACUACAGAAGUUGCAUUUUGCAUUGUGCAAAUUAAUGGCCUGUACAAAAAAGUAAUAAUUGUUUAAUAAUAAUUCUUGUUUAUUUUGUCAUUCCGGAAAAGAUCUGCGCUGCCCCCAAGAAGAAAUUUUCUGCCGUCCAGGGUUAACUUACAAUCUCCUGCGGGAGGUACAUGGAUUUUUCUGGAAUGACAUUAUACAACCCUGGAUAUAUUUUAUGUACCCCAGUUACUAGUCGAUCAUUUACAUCCUCAGUAAAUUUAUCUUAAAAUUUUGUAGAUAUUCAUCGCAAGUUGAAUCCACAUUUCACCAAGUUCCUUCCUGAAGAUUUGUUGAUUACUUUGACAAAUGAACCCUUUCGAAAAAGGUAUGUACUUUUCCUGUUUAUGUUGUAUAUCUUAAUAACUUUACCAUUUAACCAAUUGAGUGCCAACACUCUCCCUUGACAACUAAAAUUGUCUGUCUUAUAGACACUGAGUAAAAUAAUAAAGUACUGAGUGCAUUAGGGUGCAAUACAGCUUAAUGGGUUGACUGGACACAAUUGAGCAGAUAACCUGAUUAAUCGGCCCAAUUUGAGUGCCAACUGGUGUCUGGCAUAUAGACAGAGUAAAAUUGUACAUCUAACAUUAUCUAAUAAUAUGAAAACAAAUUUAUGUAUUAUGGAGAGAGCAAAUCUCUUUCUUCCUUUCGAAAGUAAAUUGCUACUCAAUUGAUAGCUAAUAAAUGUAAUAACCUGUAAAUAGAUCAUUAUACCAUGCAGUUAAUUACAUUAUAUAUAAUACCAUAUUUCUUUCAUAAUUUUGUAAAUAUUAUGGCUUCUAAAAUUCUUUAAAUGUAUCAAGCUUUCUAUGACUUUUGUGCAUGCCCCUUGUGGAAAUCAGUUUUGGUUGACAGGUUUAAAAAAAGUUUUCUAUCUGUCUAAAAAAAACCAGAAUAAAGUAAAUUCUAAAUUAGGAUCCCAUUCAGCUUAUUGAGUUAACCCAUAUGCAAAGCUGCAAUGUGGCAUGUGCCUGGUUGUAUUGUUUCAUUCUCCCGGGUUUAAAUUAUUUCACAUCCUCAAAAAUCAAUUUUGGAAUUUUUAGAUAUAUGUUGCAAGUUCCAAGAAUGCCUGAAGUUGUUGGCUGAAGUUUUGUAAACUUCAAAAAAAUGAACACUGUCAUUGGAAAGUAUAUAAACAGGUCUUGAUAUUUUUAUGUCUUAUUUUAUGUAUCACAUGCUUUGAAAAUUACAUGAUUGCUGCGAUCAGUGGCUGAGUUUACUAUUGAGUUUUUAAAAAAGGUGGCAAAAUACUGCAUGAUUGUAAAUCCACAAUAUUUAUUUUAUGAACACACAACCUUUUCAGCAGGUGUAGAUUUGGAAAUUGCAGUUUCACGCUCUGCGUCUUUUAAGUCACCAAUCAGAGGCAGUUGCUAGUUUUCAAAGCAUUCUAAUUUCAAAUCAAGCCAAGGAAUGAUAAACUGUGUGUUUUGAAAAGUGUACAUGUACAUGCAUGUUUUCAGUUUUGAUAUAUGUUUUUCAUGUUUGGCAUAAUGCUUAUUUGGGUUUUCAAGUUUCAAAAGAUUUUGCAUGUUAGAUAUCAUAAUUUGUGGAAAAAAUAAAACAUUUUCAGUUUGUCAUUAUUUGGCUUUGCAACAUCAAUUAAACAGUGAGAAGAUUGAGAUGGUUCUAUAAGAAACAUUCCCUUACAGAUAAAACAUGUAUGUUCAAGUCACCAUUGAAUUCAUAUUCUGUGUUUUUAGUCAUUUGAAGCAUGUUCCCAUUGAAACAUGAAAAUGAACAAUGAACUUGAACUUGUUUAUCAAAAUGCAUUGUGAAUAAAAGUUAAUUUUGGUUUCUGAAGUACCAUCUUAAUCCUCUUUUGUUUUAAGCAGACUUCAAGUGUUUGUUUGACAGUUAAGAAAGUUUGUUUGAAAUCACAUUUAGGUUCUAGAUGUUAUUAGAGCCUUUAAAUAUUAAAUCUUGGAACAAGCAAUUUUGGAUCAAUUGCAGUAUACAACACCUUUUAAAUUAGCACUGUUAGAACUGCCUCGUUGUUUAAUAGUCUUGUCUUAUUUACCCCAGCACACUCUUAAUACAUGAGUUUGAUUAUUCCUGGACACAAAUAAAAUGGAUUUGUUGAGGAACAAGGCAGUUCUAUACAGUGUUGACUUAUGGGGGGUUGUAAACUUCAGUUGUACGUUAUUUGAUUCCUUUGGCAAAUGAUUGUACGUGGCUUUUAACAGCACAUUUGAACUUUGAAACGAAUAUUGUGAUUUUAAAUUUUAACUUUUCCAACUUUAAAACAAACAGUUGGAGUCUAAAUAAGCCAGCAUAUUGUCUUUACCUUUUUACAAAGUGGACUUGUUUGAAUACGGAUGAACUGAAGCAGCAAGACUACACUACUGUACAGUAUACUGAAUUUGGGGGGUAAUGUGAGAUAGUAAAACUAAAAGAAAAGUGAUUGUCAUCACACAGCAAAGAAAACCACAACCGGACGAAGUUGAUGAUUUUCGGAAUAUGUCAAUUUGUGGCAAAGAAAAAACCAAUGAAAAGUAUUCAAAAGUGUAUAAUUGUUUGGUAAAAUGUGGUUAUAAUUUCAUAAAUAACCACUUUUAGCCAUUAGGGUUUCAAUACUUCUUGAACAAAAUAAGUUAAUACUAAUGCAAGGAAAAGCUAAUCAUGAUUGUACUGUCAGACCAUACAAUUUCAAACAGUUGGUGCCAGUAUAGGUAGCAAUGAUAAGUAAAUAACAAACAUGAGCGAUAUGUGGGAAUUAGAAUUACAUGAAAAUAUAUAGCAGUAAAUAGUUGUACAAAGCUGACACAUAUACAAUCUGAGCAAACUUGAAACAAAAUUUGUUAGUCUUUAUGACAAACUAUUAUACUUAAUUUCACUCAAGUCAAAUGCCUGACAUAUUUCAUUCAAAGAAUUUUCAAAUAAUUUCAGGACUUACUGUAAUUGAAUACACCCUAGUGGUAAUUAUAAUCUAAAUCUCAGUUCUUGGUACAGGAGCUUCGUUUCCAUGCCUAAUUUGCUAAUCUUUUGCCUUUGUUCUUCAUGACUCGUGUGAGGCAGAGAGCAUCAGCCAGGCUCUUGUGGUUGUAUACUAAAAUGUCUUUCGAAUUAAAAGAAAUAUUUUCAUUCUGGUUUAAGACAAACUGUUAAUCCAAGACUAACAUGUUGUAAAAUGAAAAUACAAGUCAAAACAAGUAAAUAAUUUUUAUUUUUGAGCUUACGAGAUAUUCUUUGAAAUAUUUUUUGUUUUAACUUUUUAUUGUCUGAUUGUUGUUAAUUCAUGUUUGGCAAUUGAAAUUACUGUAAUUUGUUAAUUUUCAUAUUUUCGUUUCCUUGGCUUCAGUUCAACUUUCAAAUAGUUCCACUUUGUAACAGUAUCUUAUAAUAGUCAUAAUAAUAAUAUAAGAAAACAGGUUUACAUGGCAUCUGAACAUGGUCUUUUCAACCAGUAAGUGAAGGUAAGUUUAUACUUCAAAGAGAUGUGUUUUUUUUUUAACCUGACAACAUUGCUAUCAAAACUUGACUAAAAUGCCAUCUUUAUUUCGUAGUCAAAAUUUCUGCUCUGCAAAUAAAUUUCAUCCGUUCAACCAGUAUUUUUGUUUGGUUUGUUUUAACGUUCAUACUACAAUUUGAUUAAAGUGCAAUAUGAUAUUUUGUUUGUUGGAAGAGAAAUUAGGGAUUGUAUGGAAAUUUUUUUUAAACCAAAAGCACUAUAUUAUAUUUGGUGAUCAAAGAUGUCCUCAUAUAGGGUUUCGAGCUAUUUUGGUCAAAUUUGUCUAGUUUUAGUUUUGAGUAACAUCAUCAAUAUUUCUAUAUACCUUAAACUCUUGUUUUGAAUUAUGUAAAUUAAUAAGC